GACGAACGCUGGCGGCGUGCUUAACACAUGCAAGUCGAACGGUGAAGGGGCCUGCUUUUGUGGGCCCUGGAUGAGUGGCGAACGGGUGAGUAACACGUGAGUAACCUGCCCCCUUCUUCUGGAUAACCGCAUGAAAGUGUGGCUAAUACGGGAUAUUCUGGGUCUGUCGCAUGAUGGGUCUGGGAAAGAUUGCGCCUUUGGGUGUUUUUGGUGGGGGAUGGGCUCGCGGCCUAUCAGCUUGUUGGUGGGGUGAUGGCCUACCAAGGCGGUGACGGGUAGCCGGCAUGGGGGGGUGGACGGUCACACUGGGACUGAGACACGGCCCAGACUCCUACGGGAGGCAGCAGUGGGGAAUAUUGCACGAUGGGCGCAAGCCUGAUGCAGCGACGCCGCGUGAGGGAUGGAGGCCUUCGGGUUGUAAACCUCUUUCGCCAGUGAAGCAGGCCUGCUCCUUGUGGGUGGGUUGACGGUAGCUGGAUAAGAAGCGCCGGCUAACUACGUG
This 502-nucleotide ribosomal RNA is filed under the name uncultured bacterium. RNAcentral's name for it is "partial 16S ribosomal RNA". It matches the Rfam family "Bacterial small subunit ribosomal RNA", at positions 28 to 507 of the family's 1533-position model. The record is from RNAcentral.